RNAcentral lists this ribosomal RNA (128 nucleotides) under Pteropus alecto (black flying fox). Lineage: Eukaryota; Metazoa; Chordata; Mammalia; Chiroptera; Pteropodidae. The record is from RNAcentral.
GUCUACGGCCAUGCUACCCUGACCAAGCCCAAUCCCGUCUGAUCUCGGAAGCUAAGCAGGAUCGGGCCUGGUUAGUACUUGGAUGGGAGACCACCUAGGAAGACGAGAAAGAUAAGGGGUUGUAAACU